Molecule: ribosomal RNA, 460 nt
Filed under: uncultured bacterium
Lineage: Bacteria
Description: partial 16S ribosomal RNA
Rfam family: Bacterial small subunit ribosomal RNA
Source: RNAcentral
CCUACGGGUGGCAGCAGUGAGGAAUAUUGGUCAAUGGGCGAGAGCCUGAACCAGCCAAGUCGCGUGAAGGAUGAAGGCUCUAUGGUUUGUAAACUUCUUUUAUAUGGGAAUAAAGUGAGGAACGUGUUCCUUUUUGUAUGUACCAUAUGAAUAAGCAUCGGCUAACUACGUGCCAGCAGCCGCGGUAAUACGGAGGAUGCGAGCGUUAUCCGGAUUUAUUGGGUUUAAAGGGUGCGUAGGGGGUUAAUUAAGUCAGCGGUGAAAUUUUGUGGCUUAACCAUAAAAUUGCCGUUGAAACUGGUUGGCUUGAGUAUAUUAGAUGUAGGUGGAAUGCGUGGUGUAGCGGUGAAAUGCAUAGAGAUCAGGCAGAACUCCGAUGGCGAAGGCAGCUUACUGGACUAAAACUGACGCUGAAGCACGAAAGCGUGGGGAGCAAACAGGAUUAGAUACCCUUGUAGUC